UACGGAGGGGGCUAGCGUUGUUCGGAAAUACUGGGCGUAAAGCGAACGUAGGCGGCUUGGCAAGUCAGGGGUGAAAUCCCAGUGCUCAACACUGGAACUGCCUUUGAAACUGCCAGGCUUGAAUCCUGGAGAGGCGAGUGGAAUUCCGAGUGUAGAGGUGAAAUUCGUAGAUAUUCGCAAGAACACCAGUGGCGAAGGCGGCUCACUGGCCCGGUACUGACGCUGAGACGGCGAAAGCGUGGGGAGCAAACAGG
RNAcentral lists this ribosomal RNA (254 nucleotides) under uncultured bacterium. RNAcentral's name for it is "partial 16S ribosomal RNA". It matches the Rfam family "Bacterial small subunit ribosomal RNA", at positions 524 to 776 of the family's 1533-position model. The record is from RNAcentral.